RNAcentral lists this ribosomal RNA (468 nucleotides) under uncultured bacterium. RNAcentral's name for it is "partial 16S ribosomal RNA". It matches the Rfam family "Bacterial small subunit ribosomal RNA", at positions 28 to 507 of the family's 1533-position model. The record is from RNAcentral.
GACGAACGCUGGCGGCGUGCUUAACACAUGCCAGUCGAACGGAAAGGCCCUGCUUUUGUGGGGUGCUCGAGUGGCGAACGGGUGAGUAACACGUGAGUAACCUGCCCUUGACUUUGGGAUAACUUCAGGAAACUGGGGCUAAUACCGGAUAGGAGCUCCUGCUGCAUGGUGGGGGUUGGAAAGUUUCGGCGGUUGGGGAUGGACUGGCGGCUUAUCAGCUUGUUGGUGGGGUAGUGGCUUACCAAGGCUUUGACGGGUAGCCGGCCUGAGAGGGUGACCGGCGACACUGGGACUGAGGGAAGGCACAGGCUGCGACGGGUGCGAGCAGGGGGGAAGAUUGCAGGAGGGGCGGAAGCCUGAUGCAGAAAGGCCGCGGGUGGGAUAACGGUGUUCUGGGUGUAAACCGAAUGCGCAUGUGACGAAGCGUGAGUGAAGGUAAUGGGUACAGAAGGACCGGCUUAAUUCGUG